UACGUAGGGGGCGAAUGUUACUCGGAAUUACUGGGCGUAAAGGGCCUGUAGGCGGUCAUACAAGUUAGCUGUUAAAGACCUAUGAUCAACGUAUGGAGAGCAGCUAAUACUGUAUAGCUAGAGUACAGCAAGGGAUGGUGGAAUUCCCGAUGUAGGGGUGAAAUCUGUAGAGAUCGGGAGGAAUACCGAUGGCGAAGGCGACCAUCUAGGCUGAUACUGACGCUGAGGGGCGAAAGCCAGGGGAGCAAACGGG
RNAcentral lists this ribosomal RNA (253 nucleotides) under uncultured bacterium. RNAcentral describes it as "partial 16S ribosomal RNA". It matches the Rfam family "Bacterial small subunit ribosomal RNA", at positions 524 to 776 of the family's 1533-position model. The record is from RNAcentral.